Molecule: ribosomal RNA, 652 nt
Filed under: uncultured Vibrionaceae bacterium
Lineage: Bacteria; Pseudomonadati; Pseudomonadota; Gammaproteobacteria; Vibrionales; Vibrionaceae
Description: bacterial SSU rRNA
Rfam family: Bacterial small subunit ribosomal RNA
Source: RNAcentral
AUUGAACGCUGGCGGCAGGCUUAACACAUGCAAGUCGAGCGGUAACAGGAAUAGCUUGCUAUUUGCUGACGAGCGGCGGACGGGUGAGUAAUGCUUGGGAAUAUGCCUUAUGGUGGGGGACAACAGUUGGAAACGACUGCUAAUACCGCAUAAUGUCUACGGACCAAAGGGGGGGAUCUUCGGACCUCUCGCCAUUAGAUUAGCCCAAGUGAGAUUAGCUAGUUGGUAAGGUAAUGGCUUACCAAGGCGACGAUCUCUAGCUGGUUUGAGAGGAUGAUCAGCCACACUGGGACUGAGACACGGCCCAGACUCCUACGGGAGGCAGCAGUGGGGAAUAUUGCACAAUGGGGGGAACCCUGAUGCAGCCAUGCCGCGUGUGUGAAGAAGGCCUUCGGGUUGUAAAGCACUUUCAGUUGUGAGGAAAGGUGUGUAGUUAAUAGCUGCAUACCGUGACGUUAACAACAGAAGAAGCACCUGCUAACUUCGUGCCAGCAGCCGCGGUAAUACGAGGGGUGCAAGCGUUAAUCGGAAUUACUGGGCGUAAAGCGUUCGUAGGCGGUUGAAUAAACAAGAUGUGAAAGCCCAGGGCUCAACCUUGGAACUGCAUUUUGAACUGUUCGACUAGAGUACUGUAGAGGGGGGUAGAAUUUCA